Molecule: ribosomal RNA, 357 nt
Filed under: uncultured eukaryote
Lineage: Eukaryota
Description: LSU rRNA
Rfam family: Bacterial large subunit ribosomal RNA
Source: RNAcentral
UUUAUUUGCGCAGCAUAGGUGGGAGGCAUUGAGUUUAUUCUUGCGGGAAUUUAGGAGCCAUCAGUGAGAUACCACUCUGGUAAUGUUAGAUUUCUAACUUUGUAUCAUGAUCUGGUCAAAGAACAGUUUCAGGCGGGCAGUUUGACCGGGGCGGUCGCCUCCCAAAUGGUAACGGAGGCGUACAAAGGUUUCCUCUGAACGUGUAGAAAUCGUAUCUAGAGUGUAAAGGCAUAAGGAAGCUUGACUGUGAGACCUACAAGUCGAGCAGGGACGAAAGUCGGUCUUAGUGAUCUGACGGUGCUGAGUGGAAAGGCCGUCACUCAACGGAUAAAAGUUACUCUAGGGAUAACAGGCUGA